UACGUAGGGGGCAAGCGUUGUCCGGAUUUAUUGGGCGUAAAGAGCUCGUAGGUGGUUCGGUAAGUCGGAUGUGAAAUCUCCAGGCUCAACCUGGAGGGGUCAUUCGAUACUGCCGUGACUAGAGGUCGGUAGGGGAGUGUGGAAUUCCUGGUGGAGCGGUGAAAUGCGCAGAUAUCAGGAGGAACACCCGUAGCGAAGGCAGCACUCUGGGCCGAUACUGACACUGAGGAGCGAAAGCGUGGGGAGCGAACAGG
RNAcentral lists this ribosomal RNA (254 nucleotides) under uncultured bacterium. RNAcentral describes it as "partial 16S ribosomal RNA". It matches the Rfam family "Bacterial small subunit ribosomal RNA", at positions 524 to 776 of the family's 1533-position model. The record is from RNAcentral.